This 253-nucleotide ribosomal RNA is filed under the name uncultured bacterium. RNAcentral describes it as "partial 16S ribosomal RNA". It matches the Rfam family "Bacterial small subunit ribosomal RNA", at positions 524 to 776 of the family's 1533-position model. The record is from RNAcentral.
UACGUAGGGUGCGAGCGUUGUCCGGAAUUAUUGGGCGUAAAGAGCUUGUAGGUGGUUUGUCGCGUCUGCUGUGAAAAUCCGAGGCUCAACCUCGGACUUGCAGUGGGUACGGGCAGACUAGAGUGUGGUAGGGGAGACUGGAAUUCCUGGUGUAGCGGUGGAAGGCGCAGAUAUCAGGAGGAACACCGAUGGCGAAGGCAGGUCUCUGGGCCAUUACUGACACUGAGGAGCGAAAGCGUGGGGAGCGAACAGG